UUUCUUUGAAAUACACAUAGAAUUUUAUUGGAUGACAGUUCGGCUGUGGAUACUUGGCAUUGAAUACAACAAAUGUAAUUGAAAAUGGUAAAAGCAGGACUUCAGUAAUAGAAACAUAAUGUGUGCCAACCAAAGAAUAAACUGAAAGACAUUUAAUUUGUGAAACAUUUAAGAGUGGCAAUGAUGGCUGAAUAGUUUGGUGACUCCUAUAACAAGCACCGAAUCAAGAAGCAGUGAACGUUCAUGUCCUGUAAUAUUGUAAAUUCUUAAUUAGGAUUUAAGCACUUGGUUUAAGUAUGCUGAAGCUAGCUAGAAUGACGCUGCUUAAUUGUCAAUCAACCCUUUUAACUCCAGAGUCAUACAAAUCACUUCACAGAAUCAUUUUUUUUUAUCCAUUUAUAGUGCCAAUGGUAUCCUGCUGUAUUAAAGAACCAACACAAUCAACGAAAUGCUAAACAUAUAUUCAUACUGACAGCUUUGAAUACCGAGCAGCUACGUACAAUAUUUGGUGUAUUACUGGAGACUGCACCAAAUCGUAUUUAUCAAAGUAGCAAUACAUUAAAGAAACUCAUUUUGUCAUUACAUCUUUGAACACAAGUCAUCCAUCUACCUUCAUCAUUACGGGAAUGGGUUGAUCGUUGAGCAUUAAAUCAGUUAGAAUGGAGAGCGGGCAUAUCUGGGCACUUCAGGGAUUGGAUUUCAAUCAGUUGGGAAGAUGUGUUUAUGAUUACGGCGUGAGAUCGAAUAAAUGUUACCGUAGCAGUUUUGGUUCAUUGGUCAUUGUAGCUGGAGUUGAAAAGGUCACACUUUUCUUCACACAUGAUGUUGUACCACUGUCACCACACCUACCCUCAAACCGAAACCUUGUUAAGAGUUACUCAUGCAAUACGUGCACUGCAGGAGAGUCCCAGAGACAGCAUUAGAGAUGAAAGCCUAAGCAUCUUUUCACAUCAACAAAUGAAGCAAGGUCAACCUAAAUUCGGUUAAUUCUUUUUAAACCCCAGUUUAGUGUUCGCCUAGAGGAACAAUGCGGGAAGACCGUAGACAUUCAAGUAAGGUCGUCAUGCAUGGUCUAAACAAAAUCUGGUAACAAGCCACUCAAACUGUGCAUCUUUGAACUGCAGCUAUUGUUGGAAACAAAAUCAAUUCAAAUCCAGCGCAAAGCCCAGAUCCUAGUGAAGAAUACCCUACCUGUCUUUAAUUUGCACUAGAGGCGUUGUUAAUUGUGUCUAAGUGAGUUCACCAGUACAUGCCAACAUGCUGCAGUGCUCUGACAUCUCGUGUUAGGCGCUAUAUAACACAAACACAAAUUUUUCCAGAAUGAAAAGCUAUAAUAAUCCAUUAAUAUUAGUGAUAUAUUUUUAAUUGAACUCAUAUUCUGAAAUCUUUCUUAUUGUCAUUUUCUUUCCUUCUAUUCAUGAUCUAAUAUUUCAACAGCAGUAACUGUAGCUGUUAAACACAGGUAAAAUGGAAGCACAUAUUCAGUGGUUGUGCUAAAUCGUGGUAAAGGAAUAAUAAGGUAUAAUUGCAGAUUGUUAUUGCUCUUUUAUAAUUUGCACUUGUAUAAUCAUUUUAGGGACAGAAUUGCAGAGGAUUGGAAUGGUCACUUUAUUUUUUGCAGUUUAAGGGAUAGUUUCAGUUGUCUUUAUGUCUGUCUGUCAGUGUGAAUUGGCAAUAAUUCUAGAUAGAAAUAUUCAACAAAGAUUUCUUAUCAAUGUUUUGAAUGCAAAAUCUUUUUUUUCUCAGAAGCCAAUUGGUACAGAUGACAAUUGAAAUUAUAUUGUAAAAACUAAAUGUAAACAGACAGAAAGCGAACAGAAAAUUGCCCAACCAAAGAAACUCCAUAUUUGAUAACAAUAACCACUCAUGUUUUAAGGACCAAGGUAUUCAAGUGUUUUUUUUUUGUCAAUUACAGGGCAACACACAGGCAAGGCUCACUUUCAUUCACAGUCGAUGAAUGUGCCAUUCAAAUUCUGCCUUGACUCACAUGGUACGGCUGAUGAAAACAAUAAAACAUGUUGAGAUGAAAGCAAACAAAACUCUGCUCAAAACCUGCUAAAAUAAAAAAAC
Molecule: long non-coding RNA, 2070 nt
Organism: Esox lucius (northern pike)
Lineage: Eukaryota; Metazoa; Chordata; Actinopteri; Esociformes; Esocidae
Source: Ensembl